This 587-nucleotide ribosomal RNA is filed under the name Saccharomyces cerevisiae (brewer's yeast). Its description in RNAcentral is "partial large subunit ribosomal RNA". It matches the Rfam family "Eukaryotic large subunit ribosomal RNA", at positions 68 to 670 of the family's 3401-position model. Lineage: Eukaryota; Fungi; Ascomycota; Saccharomycetes; Saccharomycetales; Saccharomycetaceae. The record is from RNAcentral.
ACGGGGAUUGCCUUAGUACGGCGAGUGAAGCGGCAAAAGCUCAAAUUUGAAAUCUGGUACCUUCGGUGCCCGAGUUGUAAUUUGGAGAGGGCAACUUUGGGGCCGUUCCUUGUCUAUGUUCCUUGGAACAGGACGUCAUAGAGGGUGAGAAUCCCGUGUGGCGAGGAGUGCGGUUCUUUGUAAAGUGCCUUCGAAGAGUCGAGUUGUUUGGGAAUGCAGCUCUAAGUGGGUGGUAAAUUCCAUCUAAAGCUAAAUAUUGGCGAGAGACCGAUAGCGAACAAGUACAGUGAUGGAAAGAUGAAAAGAACUUUGAAAAGAGAGUGAAAAAGUACGUGAAAUUGUUGAAAGGGAAGGGCAUUUGAUCAGACAUGGUGUUUUGUGCCCUCUGCUCCUUGUGGGUAGGGGAAUCUCGCAUUUCACUGGGCCAGCAUCAGUUUUGGUGGCAGGAUAAAUCCAUAGGAAUGUAGCUUGCCUCGGUAAGUAUUAUAGCCUGUGGGAAUACUGCCAGCUGGGACUGAGGACUGCGACGUAAGUCAAGGAUGCUGGCAUAAUGGUUAUAUGCCGCCCGUCUUGAACCACGGACCAAA